GAGUUUGAUCCUGGCUCAGAACGAACGCUGGCGGCGUGGAUAAGACAUGCAAGUCGAACGGGAUAUUGUUUGUAGCAAUACAGGCGAUGUCUAGUGGCGCAAGGGUGCGUAACACGUGGGGAAUCUGCCGAGAAGUGGGGGAUAGCUCGCCGAAAGGCGAAUUAAUACCGCAUGUGGUUAGGAAGGACAUCCUUCCGAUACUAAAGCCGGGGCAACCUGGCGCUUCUUGAUGACCCCGCGGCCUAUCAGCUAGUUGGUGAGGUAACGGCUCACCAAGGCGAUGACGGGUAGCUGGUCUGAGAGGACGACCAGCCACACUGGAACUGAGACACGGUCCAGACACCUACGGGUGGCAGCAGUCGAGAAUUUUUCUCAAUGGGGGAAACCCUGAAGGAGCGACGCCGCGUGGAGGAUGAAGGUCUUCGGAUUGUAAACUCCUGUCAUUUGGGAACAAUUGCACCAUUUUAACUGAGUGGUGUUUGAUAGUACCAGAAGAGGAAGAGACGGCUAACUCUGUGCC
RNAcentral lists this ribosomal RNA (520 nucleotides) under uncultured Spartobacteria bacterium. RNAcentral describes it as "bacterial SSU rRNA". It matches the Rfam family "Bacterial small subunit ribosomal RNA", at positions 9 to 509 of the family's 1533-position model. Lineage: Bacteria; Pseudomonadati; Verrucomicrobiota; Spartobacteria. The record is from RNAcentral.